GGUCCAUUUGGUAAAGUAAAUCCAUUGGGCAUCUUUCUUCGCCUUUAGACAAUAUUUCUGAUGGCAAAAGAACCAAAUGGGACAGGAAAAAAAAAAAUCUCCUGGCACAGAUGGUUUAACUGCAGAGUUUUAAAAAUCAUUUUCUAAUCUCGUGGCUCCGUUCUUACUGCAGGUUUUCAUAGAAAGUAUAGAGAAUAACACCCUCCCUCCUACUCUUACUCAGGGUCUCAUAACACUUAUUCCAAAGCCAAACAAAGACUUACUUCUUAUUGAUCAUUGGAGACCCAUCUGUCUGCUCAAUAAUGACUAUGAGAUUAUGGCUUUAGUACUUGCUAACAGAAUUAAAGAGUUCUUGGAUACAAUUAUCGAUGAGACACAAUCAGGCUUUAUGAGAAAUAGACACAUUUCUAAUGACAUUAGACUGGUUUUAGAUCUACUUCAUUACUCUGAUUUGGUAUCUGACAAUAGCUUCAUUCUCUUUCUGGAUUUUUUAAAAGGAUUUUGAUACAAUUGAACAUCAAUUUAUUUUCCACUCUUUGGAAAAACAAUUGGCUUUGGAGAAUUUUUCUGUAAAGCUUCAAAACCUUGUACACGAAUUGCAAUAACUCAAUUAAAAUGACUAACGACUCCACCCCGAGAUUUGACCUGUUAUACAAGGAAUCACCAUAGCUGAUAAGGAGCUCAUCAUCAGCCAGCUAGCUAAUGACACCACACUCUUCUUGAAGAAUGCAAAUCAAAUCCGUCCAGCCCUUAGUGUAAUUAGUGAUUUCUCUGAGGCAUCUGGUUUAUGUCUAAACCUAAAAAAAAUAUGAAUUACUAGCAAUUAAAGGCUGCACUGCAAAUGCUAUCUGUAACAUUUCUGUUAAACAAAAAGUCACAUACCCAGGACUGUUAAUAUCCAAAGACCAAAAGUCAAGAUGCUCGUCAAACUUCACUCCAAUUAUACAAAAAACACAAAAAAAGUUCAACCAGUGGCUGCAAAGGGAUUUAUCUCUGAAAGGUAGAGUGUUAAUUACUAAAGCUGAAGGGAUAUCCCGACUGGCAAAUGUUGCUCUCUCCUUACAUCUGCACUCAAAAAAGUAAAAUUUGGGGGUUAUUGCAUUUAUAUGACUCCAACAUGUAAUUUGAACACAAUGAAUUUAUGUUUCUAAGGUGAACCUAAUAAAAUCAUAUGAGAUCUACAUGAAAUUUACCAACUUAACACCUCUUACAUUUAUUCUUGUUGAUAUGACAUGAUAAAAUCUAAUAAGAGUGGUUAGCUUCCUUAAAGACUCGCGAUAUCACAAGAUCACGUGAGAUUUUAAACAACAGGAGGCAGGAAAGCACAUGGUUUGCUUUGCGGUCAUCUUGGAAAGGACGCAGCUGCCAUCCAACCCCAUAAGUGACCGUUGAUGAAAGGGAUCAUUGGCCAUCAUCAAACUGCUGCUGUUGAAGUCAGAAGAGAAUGCAUCCUCAAAGGUCUUAGCGUGUACCUGAAUGAAGAUCCAGAGAAGCUGGUGAAGGAUUACCUGGACGUUGAUAAAAGCAUCGCCACUGCCAUAGCAGAGACGGUUUUGGAAUCUGUAUCAUUUUAUCAGAGGGUGCGGAGCCUGGCGAUGACCCUCUGGAUGUUAUGAUUGUUCUAGAGGGGGUGGAAGUAAUGGGUACACCUUUGAGGUUCUGCAGAAGAUUCUUAUGGAAUUGGAUGCACACAAACUAUCCAACAAAGUACAGGUUCUCAAAACUCUUCUUUCUCGUUGAGAAAUGUUGUCAAUACAACAGCUACACCAUGUAUCUGGACCAUGAACCUGAAAGAACUGCAGACAGAUGAUACCAUGCAUUUUGUAUUCAUGUUGUGAUACACAAAAUUGGUGAUAUUUGUUUUUUUGAAAGUGCAUCUCUUUGACCUUCAAAGUAGUUGUACUGGUAAUCAGAAAAUCACUUGAUUCAGCCGUUCAUUGUGGUUAAAAAAAUGGUUUAAACAGGUUAAGUUUCCACCAUCUCCACUAAUUUUUUUUCUGUGAUAAAACUUGCAUUAGAUGUAUUCUUCACACGUUAUGUGAAAUGUACUAUAGAUACAAUAAAUUGGAGAAAACAAUAAGAUCUGUAUGACAUUUUUUUUUAAUUUAAGUUUUAGAUAUUGUAAUAGUGCAAUGCAUGUUAUCCAGACUCUAGACUUUGUUAAAUACUCCAAAAAAUUACUCUUUAAAUGAACUUAAAAUAAUCAUGGAAAGAAUUUCCACAUUAUUAAAUGGCUUUCUAUUAGCAUUAAACACUUGUGUUGGACUAACAUAAUUUGUAUGAGUUGGUUCAACUCAAUUAACUUAAGUUGGAACCAAAUUUAGUACAUUAGUUGGAGAAAACCUACAGAAUUGAGUUGGAACAAAACCCUUAAAGUUGGAUCAACACUAUUAUCUUAUAUUGGAUUCAAAUGCAGUAAAUAUGUUCAUUCAUCAAUCUUUAAUUAAGUUGGUCCAACUUGAGUACAUUAAGUCGGAAUUACAGAAUUGCAUAAUGCUAAAAUAAAGCAAUUUAAUCACGUGGAAAUUCUUUCCAUGAUUUUUUUAUGUUCAUUUAAAGAGUUAUUUUUUUGAGUGUGGAUAAGAAGAUUAGUAAAGACAUUGACCGCAUGCACUUUAAUUUUAUAUGGAAAAACCAUAAGCAACCAUAAGCAGGUCCUCUUAGCGUGGACCCUCAUUUAUAAACACAACUUCUCACCACACAAAUACCUCAUCUGGAACAACAGAGAUAUUUUAUUUCAAAAUAAAUCACUUUUCCUGGAAACUUGGGUCCAAAAUGGGAUCCUAUUGGUGGCUCAGCUGGUUAAUAAAGAGGGAGUACUGCUUACUUACAAUGAAUUCCUUACACUAUAUAAUUUUCCCAUCAGUGUUUGGGAAUUCUCAAUGGUGCUUGGUGCCAUACCCUCAGGUACACUGAAAAAAAGGCCCUGUUGGAUUUACUUGAUUCAAUAGUGGACAUCGGUUGCACACAAAUGUUUUGCUUUGGCAGAAACUUAAACAAUUGAGUUCAAUCAAC
This is a long non-coding RNA of Oreochromis aureus, 3015 nucleotides long. RefSeq lists it as uncharacterized. The record is from RefSeq and is a predicted model, not a curated record. NCBI's taxonomy places the organism in Eukaryota, Metazoa, Chordata, Actinopteri, Cichliformes, Cichlidae. The transcript has 5 exons.